UACGUAGGGUGCAAGCGUUAAUCGGAAUUACUGGGCGUAAAGCGUGCGUAGACGGUCAUGUAAGUCGGGUGUGAAAGCCCCGGGCUCAACCUGGGAAUUGCAUUCGAGACUGCAUGGCUAGGAUGCGGAAGAGGGAAGCGGAAUUUCCGGUGUAGCGGUGAAAUGCGUAGAUAUCGGAAGGAACACCAGUGGCGAAAGCGGCUUCCUGGUCCAGCAUCGACGUUCAGGCACGAAAGCGUGGGGAGCAAACAGG
RNAcentral lists this ribosomal RNA (253 nucleotides) under uncultured bacterium. Its description in RNAcentral is "partial 16S ribosomal RNA". It matches the Rfam family "Bacterial small subunit ribosomal RNA", at positions 524 to 776 of the family's 1533-position model. The record is from RNAcentral.